RNAcentral lists this ribosomal RNA (329 nucleotides) under uncultured bacterium. Its description in RNAcentral is "bacterial SSU rRNA". It matches the Rfam family "Bacterial small subunit ribosomal RNA", at positions 29 to 384 of the family's 1533-position model. The record is from RNAcentral.
AACGAACGCUGGCGGCAGGCCUAACACAUGCAAGUCGAACGCCCUAGCAAUAGGGAGUGGCAGACGGGUGAGUAACACGUGGGAACCUUCCCUAUAGUACGGAAUAGCUCAGGGAAACUUGAAGUAAUACCGUAUACGCCCGAGAGGGGAAAGAUUUAUCGCUAUAGGAUGGGCCCGCGUCGGAUUAGCUAGUUGGUGAGGUAAAUGGCUCACCAAGGCGACGAUCCGUAGCUGGUUUGAGAGAACGACCAGCCACACUGGGACUGAGACACGGCCCAGACUCCUACGGGAGGCAGCAGUGGGGAAUAUUGGACAAUGGGCGCAAGCCU